UACGUAGGGAGCAAGCGUUGUCCGGAUUUAUUGGGCGUAAAGAGCUCGUAGGUGGUUCAGCAAGUCGGGUGUGAAAGCUCUGGGCUCAACCCAGAGAUGCCACCCGAUACUGCUGUGACUAGAGUCAGGUAGGGGAUCGCGGAAUUCCAGGUGUAGCGGUGAAAUGCACAGAUAUCUGGAGGAACACCAGCGGCGAAGGCGGCGAUCUGGGCCUGUACUGACACUGAGGAGCGAAAGCGUGGGGAGCGAACAGG
Molecule: ribosomal RNA, 254 nt
Filed under: uncultured bacterium
Lineage: Bacteria
Description: partial 16S ribosomal RNA
Rfam family: Bacterial small subunit ribosomal RNA
Source: RNAcentral